This is an RNA transcript of Chenopodium quinoa (quinoa), 2139 nucleotides long. It is a transcript of the gene named phosphoinositide 3-kinase regulatory subunit 4-like, with no coding region annotated. The transcript has 6 exons. The record is from RefSeq and is a predicted model, not a curated record. Lineage: Eukaryota; Viridiplantae; Streptophyta; Magnoliopsida; Caryophyllales; Amaranthaceae.
UAGUUUGAAUGUUGUAAAUGAUGAUUGUUUGAGUUGAUUUAACGUUAUUUUUUCAAAUUUAUAUAGUUUUGAGUUGAUUUAAGUUUCUGGGUAAUGGUUUUUUGGAUAGUUUGUGCUGAAUUUUUGCGGAUUCAGAGAUAAUUUUUUUUUCACGAUCUGAAGUUUUCGAUUUUAUUCUAAUUCUAAUAUCGAUUUUCAUUUUAAUCCUCAAUCAUUUUAGCUUUUAAUCGUUUUCAUGUUUAGUUUUGUUUUUAAUUUUCAAUUAUAUUAGAUCUAAUUUUUCUGAUUUUCAAUUGAAAAUUAAUCUAAAGUUUCUGUUUGGUGCGAUUUGUUCUGAUUUUGUGCGUUGAUGGUGUGGUUGUGGGUGUUUGGUGCGGUUGCUUUGAUUUUGUGCGCCAAUGGUGGAAGGCUGGAAGCGUUGCUGUAAUGGUGGCAGGUUAGUUUGUAUUUCUUCAUUUUUUUAUAUUUAGUUUGUUUAAUUGGAUGGUUAGAAGUUUAGAACAUAUACGAUGUGUAAGCUGUGCUUGAUUGCGAGGGCUGUUCUCUGUUUUUGAAACACUAGUUUAGUUGUUUCUCUGAGUUUCGUCAAUUUGAUGUAGGCUGCGAAUGUCAUAUGCUCCUAGAUCUUGAGUUUUUGUUUUUGGUGGAAUUGAAGUGUGAUUGCUGUUAAUUUGUGUGUUUAUUUUGAGGAAUUGAACUAUAUAGCUGAUAUUAUUUGAAAAUUUUGAUCCUUCAACUUGUUAAUUGUAUUAAAAUUCUGACCAUUGAUUUGGAAAACGAUGAUUAUUCUUAUGUAAUUGAGUUGUUUUCUGUCAAAUUUUGGAAAUAUGAAGUUUUUCUAUGUGGGUAUUUCUGGUGUUGAUGGAAUUUCGACUAGGUUGCUGCAAGAUUUUGGUUUUUUUAGGGAGGGUAUUGGUGGUAGGGAAGGGGUUCUAUAUUUUGAUUAUGUGGGGAUUUGCGAUUGAGGAAGCGGUGUUUCGGGUUGCUGGCAUUGUUUGGAACAGUAUGAGAAUUCUUCUCUGUUGGUGAUGUUGGUACUAUUGAUGAACUUGAGUUGAUCUUGUGGAGUUGUGGGUGCUCUCGAUUGUUAGGAUUGAACUUGCUUGUUGGCUGGCUGUGUAAUGUAUUUUUUGAGUUUUUUUUUUUUUUUUUUUUUUUUUUUUUUUGUUUUUUUCCUUUAUCUUCUGACAAUGUGGGCAGUUCUAAUAUUGAUGGUAUUGAACUGGGUGUGAGCAGUUUUGGCUGGAAACCGACAAGGCGACUUAUCUGCUCAGGCAGUAUUUCUUCAAUAAUCUCCUUGAUCAGCUCAGUACAAGGCCUUUUCUUAGCCUAAUUGAGAAGAAAUGGCUUGCUUUUCAGCUUUUGUGUGCAUUGAAGCAGAGUCACGAGCAUGAUAUUUGUCAUGGUGAUAUUAAGUGUGAGAAUGUGCUGGUUACUUCUUGGAAUUGGGUUUACCUGGCUGACUUUGCAUCUUUUAAACCAACCUAUAUUCCUGAUGACGAUCCAUCUGAUUUCUCAUUUUUCUUUGAUACUGGGGGAAGAAGGCUCUGUUAUCUCGCACUUGAGAGAUUUUAUGAGCAUGGAGAUGAUAUGCCAGUCGCGCCUGAUGCACCGCUUAAGCCAUCUAUGGACAUCUUUGCAGUAGGUUGCGUGAUAGCAGAGCUUUUCCUUGAGGGCCAUCCACUAUUUGAACUUUCGCAGCUGCUUGCUUACCGAAGAGGGCAAUAUGAUCCUAGUCAGCAUCUUGAGAAGAUCCCUGAUCUAGGAGUACGGAAGAUGAUUCUUCACAUGAUCCAGCAGGCAACAGAACAGCAGCUAUAGAGCAAGCAGCUGACAGCAGCUAACAAAGCAGAGAACAAAACAAUAGCAGCAAAAGUCAUAACAACAGCAAGCAAAAGCAGAACAACAAGAGCAGUGCAGACAGAAGACACAUAGCAGCCAGAACACCUUGACACACUGCAUGCAACAUAACAGGCAGGCAGAAGCAGAGACAAGCUAGCAGCAUGCAGCACAGAAACCAGCAGCCUGAACCAGCACACACCAGCCAGAGCCAAAGCAGCCAGAAACAGAAAAAAAAUGAAAAUAUGUAACUUUAUAUAUAUGUUAGUGUUUCUAUAUCAAUUUAAGUGAAAAAAAUGC